AGAAGGUCUGUGACACCAGUGAAAAAUGAAUGAGUAGGUGUCCCUCACAAAGAACAAAAGGCUGUAGGCAUCCAGCAGAUAAAACAUUUUCUUAGAGGCUCUUGUUAUACUUUGUAAUAUUAUUUUGUACUGGCACAGCAGUGGGCAUAAAGUUGGCACAGUAAAUAUAGGUUGAUUUGAAUUUAACCAGCACUUUGUGGAACUGUAGGCCAAUGUGGAGCCCACCGUGUGGUGUGUCCUUCUUGAUCCCAAAAAGCAGGGAAACGAAAAUACCCUCUGAAAAUCAUUAAGCUGAGAAGUGAAUACCUAAUAGAUUAAAGAAAAGAAAUGAUAUGAUCUCAAGAGAUUGAAAGACAUCUUGGAACUGGGUGUGGUGGCACACACAUGUAAUCCCAGCUAGGAGGCUGAGACAGGAGGAUCAAAAGUUCAGGACCAGCCUGGAUAACCUAGCGAGACCCUGUCUCAGAAUAAAAUUUUAAGAAAAAGCUGAGGAUGUAGCUCAGCGCUGGAGCACUUGUGUGAAGAAGCCCUGGGUUCAAUUCCCCAUACCAUGGAACACACACAUACACACACCCAUUGGGCAGUAAGAUUUGACUAUAACCUAGUUGAAGAUAUUGACGUCUUAUACACACAUGUGCACACACACCUACCUUGAGCAGUAAGAUUUGACUAUUGAGGGUAUUGACAUCUUAAACACAUUCUCUCUCUCUCUCUCUCUCUCUCUCUCUCUCUCUCUCUCUCUCUCCAUCAAAAGAGUGCUUUCUCUGCAUGCAAAGAAAAACAAAAGCUUUUCUACUAUAAAUUGUAUGGUAUCAAACAAAGCACUGUCAGACCAACACUACCUGCCAGGUGAAGGCCAGCAUCCCGUGUGCCUGGCAAACAGACAGCCCUGUUCUAGAGAACUGCAGAGGCUCUUGCCACAUUUCUCUGGGAUUCUUCUCAUUUAUUGCACUAGCUCUGCCUCUGUGUGCACCCAGCUUCCCCAGCUUUCCUCAUAUCAUUUGCUUUCCCAAGGAGGUAUUCCACUAUCAGGCUGACAUAGAUGUUGUGUGCUAUGAAUUAAUA
RNAcentral lists this long non-coding RNA (1065 nucleotides) under Marmota monax (woodchuck). Lineage: Eukaryota; Metazoa; Chordata; Mammalia; Rodentia; Sciuridae. The record is from RNAcentral.